UACGUAGGGGGCUAUCGUUGUCCGGAAUCAUUGGGCGUAAAGAGCGUGUAGGCGGUCCGGUAAGUCCGCUGUGAAAGUCGGGGGCUCAACCCUCGAAUGCCGGUGGAUACUGUCGGGCUAGGGUGCGGAAGAGGCGAGUGGAAUUCCUGGUGUAGCGGUGAAAUGCGCAGAUAUCAGGAGGAACACCUAUUGCGAAGGCAGCUCGCUGGGACGUUACUGACGCUUAGACGCGAAAGCGUGGGGAGCAAACAGG
Molecule: ribosomal RNA, 253 nt
Filed under: uncultured bacterium
Lineage: Bacteria
Description: partial 16S ribosomal RNA
Rfam family: Bacterial small subunit ribosomal RNA
Source: RNAcentral